This 1118-nucleotide ribosomal RNA is filed under the name Escherichia coli. RNAcentral's name for it is "partial 23S ribosomal RNA". It matches the Rfam family "Bacterial large subunit ribosomal RNA", at positions 405 to 1529 of the family's 2925-position model. The record is from RNAcentral. Lineage: Bacteria; Pseudomonadati; Pseudomonadota; Gammaproteobacteria; Enterobacterales; Enterobacteriaceae.
UCGAUGAGUAGGGCGGGACACGUGGUAUCCUGUCUGAAUAUGGGGGGACCAUCCUCCAAGGCUAAAUACUCCUGACUGACCGAUAGUGAACCAGUACCGUGAGGGAAAGGCGAAAAGAACCCCGGCGAGGGGAGUGAAAAAGAACCUGAAACCGUGUACGUACAAGCAGUGGGAGCCUCUUAAUGGGGUGACUGCGUACCUUUUGUAUAAUGGGUCAGCGACUUAUAUUCUGUAGCAAGGUUAACCGAAUAGGGGAGCCGAAGGGAAACCGAGUCUUAACUGGGCGUUAAGUUGCAGGGUAUAGACCCGAAACCCGGUGAUCUAGCCAUGGGCAGGUUGAAGGUUGGGUAACACUAACUGGAGGACCGAACCGACUAAUGUUGAAAAAUUAGCGGAUGACUUGUGGCUGGGGGUGAAAGGCCAAUCAAACCGGGAGAUAGCUGGUUCUCCCCGAAAGCUAUUUAGGUAGCGCCUCGUGAAUUCAUCUCCGGGGGUAGAGCACUGUUUCGGCAAGGGGGUCAUCCCGACUUACCAACCCGAUGCAAACUGCGAAUACCGGAGAAUGUUAUCACGGGAGACACACGGCGGGUGCUAACGUCCGUCGUGAAGAGGGAAACAACCCAGACCGCCAGCUAAGGUCCCAAAGUCAUGGUUAAGUGGGAAACGAUGUGGGAAGGCCCAGACAGCCAGGAUGUUGGCUUAGAAGCAGCCAUCAUUUAAAGAAAGCGUAAUAGCUCACUGGUCGAGUCGGCCUGCGCGGAAGAUGUAACGGGGCUAAACCAUGCACCGAAGCUGCGGCAGCGACACUAUGUGUUGUUGGGUAGGGGAGCGUUCUGUAAGCCUGUGAAGGUGGCCUGUGAGGGUUGCUGGAGGUAUCAGAAGUGCGAAUGCUGACAUAAGUAACGAUAAAGCGGGUGAAAAGCCCGCUCGCCGGAAGACCAAGGGUUCCUGUCCAACGUUAAUCGGGGCAGGGUGAGUCGACCCCUAAGGCGAGGCCGAAAGGCGUAGUCGAUGGGAAACAGGUUAAUAUUCCUGUACUUGGUGUUACUGCGAAGGGGGGACGGAGAAGGCUAUGUUGGCCGGGCGACGGUUGUCCCGGUUUAAGCGUGUAGGCUGGU